GAAGUGAAAGAUUACCAAAAGGCAAGUGAUGCAACCGAAACCGAUCAUCAAAUACCGGCCCACGUAGGAAUCGGCGAGAAAGGCCCCAAGAAUCGGCAGAAAACUCGAAGCAGCUGACCAAAAGAAGAGUACGUUCGUACCUUCUGUUAUUUUCAUGUUAUAUUCUCUGCACAGAUACAGUAUCAUGUUUGGCAUAAACCCAGUACUUGCCAUCCUCUCAAAUGCUUCAUUUGCUGUCCACCAAAAAUAAAGCAAAUAAAAUAUAUUACACACAAUUGAUCAAAAGGGUAACAACAUCAACAUGCAUGCAUGUAGUAUACAUAUUAACAGAAAAAGCACAAGAUUUUUUUUUUUUUUUUGGGGGGUCAAGUGAAUAACUUACCAAUGAUGAAAGGCAAGGUUCUGAUGCCACCCUUUGGGUUUUUGUUGAUCAAGAGUGGCUCUGUGAUCAUUUUCUUUUCUUCUGAACAUGUUUCCAUUUUGAUUCUUUGUUGCUGUUUGCUUGCUUAGUCUUCUGUUUCUUUGUGCUUAUGGAGACUAAUCUAUUAUCUAUGUAAGGAGAUUUUACACGUAGUAGAUAUAGUGUAGUGGCACCCACCGAAAGUGAGAAAUGCUAACAUGCAUGUGGAGAGCACUGAUACGAUAGAAAGUGGAAGAACAUCAACGACGCUACCAAUUAACUAGAUAAUUUGUUUUCUUUUUCUUUCUUUUGAGAGGUACUAAUUUAAUUAAAUAAUUAAGAUGCUGCGUAUGGGGGAAAAAAUCUCAUAAUAACAAUUGUUUAUGAAAGGAAUAGCCAAUAAUCUGUGAUUAGUUAAUGAAAGUGGGAUAUUGUUUUGAAUUCUUUAACCGUCCGAUGUGACUUCCACUUUAUGGGCAGUUGGAAGUUACGCCUAGUCAAAAGAAAGAAGUGGGAAAUUUAAAAAAUAAAUAUAUAAAUAAACAAGUGGAAUAACUUAGAAAAUGGAGGAAUAACACAUAGAUCCCUCUAUUUGUAUAUUGUUUUAUUCAAACUAUACUUGGUCUAUUUGCGUAAAACAAGUUCCCGACGCCUUCAGAAAUGAUAGUUAGUUAGUUACCUUUAUUUAGGGCCGAAUUUGAGCAGUACAUUAGUAAUGAAGUCAUGUCCUCACUCAACCUAAAGCAUAAUACAACCCUCGCUUAUCUUAUGGUGUGAAGUUUUGCAGCUCUCUCAUCUUUUUGUAUAAAAAUUAUUAGCUUAAGAUUGUAUAAAAAAAUUUUAACCUCAACGUAAAAAUAGUCUCUAAAAUUUUAAUAUUACAAACUAUUAUUCUAUUUAAUAUUAUAAAGAUCCCAAGUAAAUAUCUACAGAAGGGAAGCCUAGAUUACUAAAUAUAUAUGGAGAAUAAUGAGUAUAAAAAUCUAAUAAGUUAAAGGGAAAUCUUCGGAGAAAGGAGGAGCAUGAUAUGAUUUAUUUGAAGAACAUAUUCAUGAAUACAGGAAGAUGACCGGACUAAGGUGUGGCUGCUCAUAUCUUGGCUAUUUUAAUAAGGAUUGAGGACUUAUUUGAUAUAAAAUGAUAAAAUGUGGCCGUUGUUUUAGAAAAUAAAAAGAGAACAAGGGAUACAGACGUUAUUGUCUAUGCUCAACUAAACAGAAAUUGCUGGAGUCGCGACACCACAUCCUUUGAAUUUACUUAAAGUAAAACAGUAAAAAUUAAAAACAACCCAAAAUGCGACACGGCACGGAGGGUCAUUCUCGGAAAUGCGGGCCACCUUUACCUCGCCUUUCAACUUCUUUGUCAUUGUUUCAAACUUUCGAGGCGCAGAGAGGGAGACACCAGACGCUGAACUCGCGCACUUGGUUACACGUACCCGUGUCGGUAUUUUAGUACCCUUUUCUUUUGUUUUUUUGAGAAGUAGUACCCUUUUCAGUUAGUGCUGUGGUUGCCCUUGGCACCGUGGUCCCCGGUCGGUGGCGUGAUGACGACAUGAACGAGAAGAAUCUACGCAUUAAAAAAUUGGUAAAGUAGAAUUUCAUUAAAUUUAUAAUCGAUAAAGGUGUUAAUUUGAUUGAAUAAUAAUUUUUAUUGUUCUCGAUUUGAGGCUAGAUAAAUUAAUUAAAAAUUUAAAAGAAUCUCAAUUUUCUAAUAAAUUCCAAUUAAUACAUAAAUUAAUAAUUAACUAAUUUGAAUAUAAAUGCUAUGAGACUUUUAUAAAAUAAAUUUUCAAUGUUGCUUUCUUCUUCUUGACAUUGGUUUUACUUGAACUUCAUCUCUAAUUUUUUAUAAUGCUGAAAGAAAUUUCGGCAUGGUGUUGCCGCCUUGCCAGGGGCGGAAGUGUUAAGUGGCAGCCCGGUAUAGGAAAAAAAAAAUCAGUUAGUUUGAUUAAAAUUACGAAAAUGUCAUUAAUUGUUAAUUACGAAAAUACCAUCAAUUGUUAAUUACAAAAUAUUAUCCAUCAUUAUUACUUUUCCUUUACUUCCACCGACACCAUUAGAAAAAAAAAAAAUUCAAACCCUUCUAGAUUCUUCAUUCUUCAUCAAUUCACCGUCAUUGCUUCACAACUCACAAUUCAUCAUCCGUUUAUAUCUUCCAAUUUCUUUGCAAUACAUUUUUAUAUUGGUAUGUUACUAUAUUUUUAGAACUUGCAUAAAUUAUUUAUUUUUUUAGAUAGAUUUUAUUAAUUUAUUAUUUUGAAUGUUUAAUUGGCUUUUUUUUGUAAUUAGUUUUGUGAUUUAUUAGUUUGAGUUGAUUUAUUAUUGUUAUUUUUUCACUAAUAAUAUUUUUUAAAAUGGAAAAGAUGAACAAAAUGAAUUGUUUAAUUUAUUUAAGCAUGCUAAUUAAGCUCGUAAUUAUUAAUUAAUUUAUUAAUUCUUAUGUAGUUUCAUGUUAUAGUAAUUCAUAGGUUAUAGUGUCCGAUAAAUCUAAGAUAAGGAAAACUCUUCUUUCAUUCUUUACCAAAAUAGAUGGUGGUCAAUCAUCAAAUGGAACAAGUUCUCCGUGCAAUAUUGAUGCCUCAAUUUCUCUUAAAUCUCAAAGAGCCAAAUUUGAGAAAGUUGACAUUUCAUCCACUAUUGACAUCUCUUAUUUAUAACGUGAUCCCGAAUUACACAUCUCAAUUAAAACUUAUCCUAUUAAGAAACGUUAAGAUGUGUGGAUGCAUAUAUAAAUAUCGGACCAUUCCAUCCCAAGCUACAAAAGUACCCAUCAACUAAACACGGUAUACAAAAUCGUCGAUUUCAAUUUUCUUGGUUCUCAAAAUUUCCUUAGCUUGAGUAUUCCUUAUCAAAAGAUAAAGCAUUUUGUUUUCCAUACUUUUUUUUAGGGAGAUUGUCAAUUUCCCCCCUACAGUAAUCAACAUAUACCAUUUCUCCCCCUGCUGUUUUUAUAAUGGCCAAAAACUCCCCUAAUAGCAUAAGUUUACAAUAUUACCUUUAUUUUCAACUACUCUUUUAUUUAUAUUUAUUAUAAAUUAAAUAAAUCACAUGAAUAGAAACUAAAUAAAAAAUUAAGCAUUAAAAACAAGAAAUAUAUGUUUUGAUAUGAGAAAAAAAUUAAUAAUAAAUUUUUUUUCUUGUACUUAUUCAUUUUGUGAAAAUUUUCUUAUAAUAAACAUAUAAGAAAAUUAUUAUAAAAUGAUAAAAAAAUUAUUAUAAGAAAACUUGAAUGAUAAAUAAAAAUUUAUUAUAAGAUAAAUAAUAAAAUAUUUUGCCUAUCUUUUUACAUUUAAUUUUAAAUAUUACAAAAUGUUUAUUAUAAGAAAAUAUUCAUAAAAUAAAUAAUUACAAGAAAAAAAAUUUAUUAUUAAUAUUUUUGCUCAUAUCAAAACAUAUAUUUCUUGUUUUUAAUACUUAAUUUUUUUAUUUAGUUUCUAUUCAUGUAAUUUAUUUAAUUUAUAAUAAAUGUAAAUAAAAGAGUAGUUGAAAAUAAGGGUAAUAUUAUAAACUUAUGCUGUCAGGGGAGAAGGGGGAUAAAUGGUAUAUGUUAAUUACUGUAGGGGGGAAAGUGGCAAUCCCCCUUACUUUUAAUGAUGGUUCGCUAUGAAAACCGUCAUUAAAAAUAAACAAUUACAAUGAAGGUUUUGUUUGAAAAUGGUCAUUAAAUGUAUAGUUAAAAUUUAAUAUUAAGUUUAAUGCAGGUAUAUUAUAAAAACCAUCAUUAAAAAUACAUACUUACAAUGAUGGUUUUUAAACUUAACCAUCAUUGUAUAUCCACUAAAAUAUAACCUUAAUAUUAAUGACAGUUAUUUUAGGAACCAUCAUUAAAAGGAAACUAUUAACCUUCAUUCAUAACUGUUUAUUUUAUAAACGGUCAUGGAAUAUACAAAUAAUAAAAGUGAAGCCGAUUUCAAGACUUGGGCAUUUUAUUUCUUCACUUCAGAAUGUCUCUCCCAAAUGCCCAAAUUCCUUCCAUCACUCUCUCAUUUCUCUCCAGAAUCGACAUUCAAGCAAAAUAUAAUUUUAGCCAAGAUUGAUUGUUGCCCACUUUGCAACCAUCACAACCUUGACCCAAUACAUAGCACCUAAUGUUAAAAAAGAGUUAUUAAAUAUUCUUGCUAAUAAAGUGCGAUACAAGAUUCGGAAGGAAAUUGCAGAUACUAUUGAUUCAGAAUCCAUAAUUGAUGAAUUCCAUUGUUUGAAGCCGCGAAAAGUACAACUUUAGUUAUAUUUUUGUUUUGGAUUAUAUUUUUAUUUUCUAUUUUUAUAUAAUUAUUUUGUUUAAAGUAAUUAUUAUUUGGUGUAAUAUUUCUAAUGUCCUCAUCUUAUUAUGUGUAUUUUAUUUUUUUCUUAUAAAAUUUUAUGUUCACUUUACAAUAUAACUUUUUUUUAAAAAAUUUAGCCUGAAGUACUUUAAAAUCCUGGAUCCACCCCUGCACUUUGCAACAAGAAAUUAUUCAAUGUCACUAUUAAUUAAAGUGUUUAUUCGGGGGAAAACGAGAUUCACACCACGCUUUGCACCACACAUAGCACCGAACGGUGCGUUUUGAAAUAAAUAUAAAUAGUCAUUGUGAAUUGAUAAUUUUGACACUUGCAACACACACGCGCUCUCUCGUUCUCUCCCUCUAACGACACAAAAUCUCCCCGUCGACUCCUUUUUCUCUCCCCUCCAGAUCGAGCAGCCGUGGGUUAUUUUCUCUCAAUCUCCCCUCCAAAUCCAGCGGCCGUCGGUCGCUCUUUCAUCCCUCAAAUCUACAACAGCCGUGGGUUACUCUCUCUCAUCCCCCCAAAUCCACAGCAGCCGCAUGUUACUUUCUCUCAUCCCUCUCCAAAUCCAGCAAUCCACGAGAUGGAGAGAGAGACAGCUAACAAUAAUCAAAACUCAACAAAUCGCCAACCAAAUUUGCCCAGUUAAAACAAACCAAAUUUGCCUAGUUAAAAAAAUAAUCAGCAAUCAAGAAAUCAUGCCGACAAAAUUUGCCCAGUUGAGAAUCAAAAAAUUAAGCCAACCAAAUUUGCCCAAUGAUUUGCUUCAUCACGAGUGAAAAAUUCAAGCCAACUAAAUUUGCAACAAAUCGCCAACCAAAUUUCCCUAGUUAAAACAAACCAAAUUUGCCUAGUUAAAACAAUAAUCAAGAAUAAAGAAAUCAUGCCAACAAAAUUUGCCCAGUUGAGAACUAAAAAAUCAAGCCAACCAAAUUUGCCCAAUAAUUUGCUUCAUCACGAGUAAAAAAUUCAAGCCAACCAAAUUGAAUAUGUAUAUGGAACAAAAAAAUUGCAGAAUUAGAGAGGGGAUAUGAGAGAGAGUAACCCACAGCUGCUGUGGAUUUGGGGGGUGUGAAAGAGUGCUAUGGUCCAGUGAGAUGAGGGUGGUAUGCGCUUGCGUUUGAGUGUGGUCUGCGUUUGCGUUUCAGUGAGACAAGUGUGUAUGUGGUCUGCGCUUGCGUUUGAGCAAGACACGCGUGUGUGUGUUUUAAAGCUACAGUAAGUUCUUUUAAAGUUAGCACAAAACGAAUCGUUUUGUGCUAACUGUGGUCCUAAUUGGUGUGAGCAUAUCAGUGCUGUUAUUCGGGUGAGAUGGUCUUGAGAGUGAAACUAUUACCUUCAACUUCUUCCUCUUUAAUCUUUAUUAUUUUUCAUUAUACUUUCAAUUAUUUGAUCGUCACUCAAAUGAAAAUCGUAUCACACAACUUGAAAGAAUCUUUACUCUAAUUAUAUUACAUCUAUACAUCAUAAAAAUUUAUAUUCUAAACAUGAUAUUAUCUUCAUAGAUUAAUAUUAUGAAUUAAUUAAUAAUUUAUUAUUAUUAUUAUUAUUAUUUGGUGCUAUAUUAAAUUAUAAUAUCACGACAUUAGUGUAUACAUUCAUAUAUUCCAUUACUGCAUGUUCUUAAUUAAAGGUGAAAGAACUUUCUGAAUUGAAGUGCGCAUAAUUUCUUUUGCCUUUUAUCACACACACACAUAUAUGUGCACAGCACAUGCAUGAAUGUUAGUAGUUUUAUAAUCAUGGAUUUUAAAGUGCGGGAAAGUACGAGAAAAUUUUAAAACCACACGAUUUUAAAGGCUUAUAGUUUUAAUUCUUUAAAACUAUACGGUUUUAAAACUUUUCCACAUUUUAAAAUUCCGAACUGAAACAUUUCUCGCAUAAAUGUAGUACCAUAUCUCAUCUCCUUGUAAAACAUUUUUGGAUUACACCACCUUUUAUUUCCUAAUCUUUAUCUCUUUUUUUUCUUUUUUUUUUUUACUUUUCCUUUUCAGUCCCAGUGGCCACUGGCCAGUGCCACUUUGAUGGGCAAAUUUGAGUUCAAACUUCCAACAUAUUGCAACGACACUAUUUUCAUGCUAUACAAUUGUUUGGCAUUAGAAUCUCUCUUAUACAUAAAAGUAGAGCAGAUAUAUAUUCUUUUAUAUAUGAAUGAAAAUUUAAACUAUAUCAUAAUAGAAUUAAUUUAAUAGAUAAUCUCAAUAUAUUCUUAAUUAUAAAUGUGUAUAAACAAAUUAUAUUCUUUUAUAUACAUAAAAUUUAUUCAAUGUUACAUUCAAUUCAUUCUUUUAUAUUCUUAUAACAGUUUAAUAAUAAGAUUUAUAAAAUAUAUAUGACUUUCAUAAUAUUUUUAAAAAUAAAUUUAUUAAAUAUUUAAUUAAUAAUCUUCACAAUGCAUUACCAACUAGCCUAAGACUUAAGGAGAGAAUCAGGCAUAGAGACAAUCAAGAUCGAUUCGUCGUUGAUGUUUGUUGAUAAAUAUGUAAGUUUAAAUUAACAUAUAACACAAUAUAAUCUUUUAUUCAUAUAAUCAUCAAAUUUUCUUUUGAAUUACAUUGAAAAUCAACGACGACAAUUUCUCUUAACUUAAGAAAUUCAGCAAAGGUUCCUUCCGAUGAGAGCAAGCUCCUUAUACAACGAUCUGUUAUUACUGUUGUUAUAAUUAUAAUUAUCAUAACCCAUAAGAAUGUCAUAGGCUUGCCGUCUUUUUGUAUUGGAAAGAACCUCCCAAGCUUCAUUAAUAAGCAAAUUUGCAGUCUCAGCAGCGACAGAAGAACAUUCAUCAGGAUGAAACAACUGUGCCAAGCCCUCAUAACUCUGCCUGAUUUCGUCCUCUCCGGCUUUAUGAUCUUUGAUACCCAGAACCAAAUACCAGCUUUUGGUUUGCACUGCGACUUUGUGCACCAUGUAAGAGCUUAAGUAGUUAUCGAGGCCCGGAAGAUUAGGGUUCUUAAGCCGUGCUGUUUUAAUGGCAUAGAGUGCGGCAUCAAUGUUUUUGUUUAUGAAUAACUCCUCUGCCAUGUCUCUGCAGGCUUCAGCUUCCAUAUUUAUGAGCUUCGGGAAUAGAGCCUCUGCGGCUACUGGAUUGCACAACGGAGGAGGCAUUGUUGAAUUGAAAAACAGAGCCAGAAACAGAGAAUGUAAUGUUACUUUGUUGGGUAAGUGAUAAAAUAGGCUAGCUUUAUCAUGCAGAACAAGGAUUCCUUUUUGGCGUUUUUUUUGAGUCUUUCCUAAUAAAAUAAGUAAUCAAGAUUGAAUUUUAAAUGUUGA
RNAcentral lists this long non-coding RNA (7932 nucleotides) under Citrus sinensis (sweet orange). RNAcentral describes it as "long non-coding RNA (CSIN_LNC003323)". Lineage: Eukaryota; Viridiplantae; Streptophyta; Magnoliopsida; Sapindales; Rutaceae. The record is from RNAcentral.